UACGUAUGGAGCAAGCGUUAUCCGGAUUUACUGGGUGUAAAGGGAGCGUAGGCGGCCUAAUAAGUCUGAUGUGAAAACCCAUGGCUCAACCGUGGGAUUGCAUUGGAAACUGUAAGGCUAGAGUGUCGGAGGGGCAAGUGGAAUUCCUAGUGUAGCGGUGAAAUGCAUAGAUAUUAGGAGGAACACCAGUGGCGAAGGCGGCUUGCUGGACGAUUACUGACGCUGAGACUCGAAAGCGUGGGGAGCAAAC
RNAcentral lists this ribosomal RNA (250 nucleotides) under uncultured prokaryote. RNAcentral describes it as "partial 16S ribosomal RNA". It matches the Rfam family "Bacterial small subunit ribosomal RNA", at positions 524 to 773 of the family's 1533-position model. The record is from RNAcentral.